CACGGGGGGAGCGAGCGUUGUUCGGAAUUACUGGGUGUAAAGGGCUCGUAGGCGGGGAAGAAGGUCGAAUGUGAAAACUCAUGGCUUAACCAUGAGCCUGCAUCCGAAACCACUUCUCUUGAGUAUCGGAGAGGAUAGCGGAACUCCUGGUGUAGCGGUGAAAUGCGUAGAUAUCAGGAGGAACGCCGGUGGCGAAGGCGGCUAUCUGGCCGAAUACUGACGCUCAGGAGCGAAGGCCGGGGGAGCAAACAGGAUUAGAUACCCUGGUAGUCCCGGCAGUAAACGAUGGGUACUAGGUGUUGGAGGGAAUUGACCCCUUCAGUGCCGCAGCUAACGCAUUAAGUACCCCACCUGGGGAGUACGACCGCAAGGUUGAA
Molecule: ribosomal RNA, 377 nt
Filed under: uncultured bacterium
Lineage: Bacteria
Description: bacterial SSU rRNA
Rfam family: Bacterial small subunit ribosomal RNA
Source: RNAcentral